UAUCACAUUGAAAUUUUGGCGAGCGUUUGCAUCCCUCGCCAAGUUCCAAUGUGAAAGG
This 58-nucleotide non-coding RNA is filed under the name Spodoptera frugiperda (fall armyworm). Lineage: Eukaryota; Metazoa; Arthropoda; Insecta; Lepidoptera; Noctuidae. The record is from RNAcentral.